This is a long non-coding RNA of Mya arenaria, 447 nucleotides long. RefSeq lists it as uncharacterized. Lineage: Eukaryota; Metazoa; Mollusca; Bivalvia; Myida; Myidae. The transcript is spliced from 3 exons. The record is from RefSeq and is a predicted model, not a curated record.
GAAAAACUACGCAAUUCAUGUUCGGCCUUGACUCGAUUUGGAGACAUUAUUUUUUAAAAAGCCCCCAAAAGACCGAUACUGCCCAGCAAGACCAUUCAUUUGUAUUUUGUCGUCUGGAGGUGUAUUUACUCACAAAUAAAGCGAGAUGUCUAGCCAGCAGAGUGGAGGUGGUAAAUACGGAGGCACGGGGGACAAGGCGGACCUGGAUAACCAUGGCAAACAGUGUAACCCGAACAACCCUGAGUUCAAAGGUCAUCGGCCCGGGUACCAGGGGGAAGGCGCAAAGGCGGACCUCGAUAACCACAGCGACCAAUUGAACCCGAAUAACCCCAAGUUCCAGGAGCCAAAAAAGUGACGUCAUUUCAAAAACAAAAGUUUAGACGUCAUACCACGCGCCGAUGAAAUGCUAUGUAAUCAUGUAUGAAAUUCAAUAAAGAAACAAACUCA